Molecule: ribosomal RNA, 301 nt
Filed under: uncultured bacterium
Lineage: Bacteria
Description: partial 16S ribosomal RNA
Rfam family: Bacterial small subunit ribosomal RNA
Source: RNAcentral
CAGUAGCCGCGGUAAAACGUAGGUCCCGAGCGUUGUCCGGAUUUAUUGGGCGUAAAGCGAGCGCAGGCGGUUAGAUAAGUCUGGAGUUAAAGGCUGUGGCUUAACCAUAGUACGCUUUGGAAACUGUUUAACUUGAGUGCAAGAGGGGAGAGUGGAAUUCCAUGUGUAGCGGUGAAAUGCGUAGAUAUAUGGAGGAACACCGGUGGCGAAAGCGGCUCUCUGGCUUGUAACUGACGCUGAGGCUCGAAAGCGUGGGGAGCAAACAGGAUUAGAUACCCCCGUAGUCCCUGUCUCUUAUACA